This 9063-nucleotide long non-coding RNA is filed under the name Brassica napus (rape). RNAcentral's name for it is "long non-coding RNA (BNAP_LNC006293)". Lineage: Eukaryota; Viridiplantae; Streptophyta; Magnoliopsida; Brassicales; Brassicaceae. The record is from RNAcentral.
UGCAUGCAAGGCUCUGGAGAACAAGAGAUUGUUCAUGUUGGACUAUCAUGAUUUGCUUCUACCGUAUGUGAACAAAGUGAGAGCGUUGGAUGAUAGCACCUUAUAUGCUUCUCGAGCACUAUUCUUCCUCAGCGAUGAUAGCACAUUGAGACCUGUUGCCAUUGAGUUGACUCGUCCCCAAGAUGUAAACAGACCCCAGUGGAGGCAGGUAUUCACGCCAGGCUAUGAUGCUACCUCCUGCUGGCUAUGGAGUCUUGCUAAGACUCACGUUAUUUCUCAUGACGCUGGUUAUCACCAGCUUAUUUCCCACUGGUAUUGAACAAACUAGAUGUAUAUAUAUGCUUAUUUUGUUGAUACUAUUAUUUAGUUUUAACUGUAUAGACAUUAAUACACGUAUAUUUUACAGGCUGAGGACUCACUGCUGUAUAGAGCCAUACAUUAUAGCGGCAAACAGACAACUAAGUGCGAUGCAUCCUAUCUAUAGGCUUCUGCAUCCCCACUUCCGCUACACCAUGGAGAUCAAUGCUCGUGCACGCCAAGUUCUCAUCAACGAAGGUGGAAUCAUUGAGUCUUGUUUCUGGCCCGGCAAGUAUUCAUUAGAGCUAAGUUCAGAUGUCUAUGAUAAACUCUGGAGGUUCGACAGGGAAGGCUUACCUGCAGACCUCAUCGGCAGGUACAUAAUUCCUAAGAUUAAUAUUUUAGAACUUGUUUUUGUAUACAAAAGAUUAAUGUUUUGCUUUUAAUUAAUAGUACAUUUUGGUUUAAAAUUAAAACGUAAAUUAAGAUUUGAAAAUUUGAAUAGUUAAACUUUAUUGGGAAACAAAUAAAACUAACAAAAACUAAUCAAUAUAUAUAUUUUUUAUUUUGAUUGAUAUGCAUGCAAAUUCUAAAACUUAAUCUUUUAAGUGAAGAGCAAGUACUUAUUUUAUUUGGUUUGAUCAAAAAGAUACUUAUUUCUUUGUAUAUAUUCUAUACUAGUUAUGCUAACAAUAUUUUUACAUAAAACAAAAAAAAAUGUGAUAUCAAAGGGGGCUGGCUGUGGAAGAUGAGACAGCGGAACAUGGGGUACGCCUCACGAUACCAGAUUUCCCAUUUGCGAAUGACGGUCUAAUGCUGUGGGAUGCACUUAAGGAAUGGGUCACAGACUAUGUGAAUCACUAUUAUCCAGAUUCAGAACAGGUCACAUUGGAUGAGGAACUCCAAGGAUGGUGGAGUGAAGUGAGGAACAUAGGGCAUGGAGACAAGAAAAAUGAACCAUGGUGGCCUGUCCUCAAAACACAAGAUGACUUGAUUGAAGUGGUGACUACGAUUGCAUGGGUGGCUUCAGGCCACCAUGCAGCUGUAAACUUUGGACAGUACGGGUAUGGUGGAUACUUUCCCAACCGACCAACCACAUCAAGGAUAAAAAUGCCAGUGGAAGAGCCGACAGAUGAAGAGCUAAAAGAGUUCUAUGAGGAUCCAGAGAAGACCAUGCUUAAGACAUUCCCGUCGAAGAAGCAGGCGACCAUAGUGAUGGUGACUUUGGAUCUUCUAUCUGCACAUUCACCAGAUGAAGAGUACCUAGGGGAAAACCCAGAAGCAUCUUGGGCCCACGAACCUGUCAUCUAUGCUGCAUAUGAACGUUUCAAAGGCAAGCUCCAAUACCUAGAAGGAGUGAUAGAUGAGAGGAACGUGAAUGUUUCUCUAAAGAAUCGAGCUGGAGUAGGUGUUGUUAAGUACGAGCUUUUGAAGCCUAUCUCUGAACCAGGCGUUACCGGGAUGGGUGUUCCCUACAGUGUGUCUAUCUGAUCUAAAGCAUUUUGAUCUAAUGCAUUGGAUGUUAUCAUCUACGUUUCUCCCAAGUUAUCAUCUAUGUUUUUUUUUGCUUUUGUAAUAAAUAAUGAAUCUCAACCUGCUCAAAAGUACCUUAUUUGUGCUGGGAAGCGGUAAAGGAUUUUGAUGUUGUUAUUUCUUUUGGGAAUAAGACUUAAUGUGUGGUUAUUUUAUGUGUAUUGGACCAAAUAUUGUUGGACGUUGGUAAACGACCGAUUGAGUUGGCCUAACCUAAUGAAGAUUAAUUGUAUUCAAGUAUAGAAAGUUAAAGGCCUAUGAAAACAAUAUUACCUGGAAAACUUUAGGAAAUCGUUGAAAAUUCUAAACCAUAAUAUUAUGUUUUGUGUUUAGGUUAAAUGGUUAAAUGUUUUAUAUCAUAAUAUUAUUAGUAUAUUUAGUUAAUAUAAUUGAGGAACACUUCGGUAUUUUGGUUUGGUUUGGUUUAAAACCAAACUAAACCAUUUUUAUUCAUAAAAUCUUUAACCAAAUAGUUUAGACAUAUACUUUUGGUUUGGUUCGUCUCGGUUUGUGUUCUUAUUAGGGUGAGUUGAUUAUAUGAUGGUUUGGGUACUGUUGUUGUUUACAAGAUUACAGAUUUUUUCCUUCAAACAUGCAACAAAAUUAAAUAUUUUUUAUUAAACAAAUAUAAAUACUUUUAUUUAAAAACCAAAAUUAAACCGGUUCAUUUAAAAACUACUCCCUCUGUUUCCUACUAUAAAUAAUUUAAGAAAACAUUGUUUGUUUCAAAAUAUAAGUACUUUCAUUAUUCUAUAUAAUUUUUUACUUUUAUUGUGUAUAGUAUGACCAAUCAAAUAAUAUACUUAUUUAUGACUGGUUUAACUAUACCUAAUUUAUAUAUCAAAUGAUAUUUUAAAAAUAAAUAAUAUAUUUCUUAAUCUUUGUGCAUUGAUCAACUAAAACUUUCUACAUAUAAAAACAAAGGGAGUAGCAUUUUUCCUAAAUUUGAAAAUGCCCAAAACACAAUAAAUAAGUCUACACUAUAGUCGCAUAUGAACCUAUAAGCUUUAUUUUCUGUCUUCUUUAGAUAUGGCAUAAACUUCUGGCCACUACCGGCAAUUGCGUCCUCAUAAACGAGACUGAGAAGUUCGGUAAUUUUUAGUUAUAAGUUCGGUAACAACAACAAAAACGUGCAGGGAAGCACUUCUUUUGAAAACAACAAUAUAAUAACAAACACUAUAAUUCUAGGGUGAAUUUGUGGAAUAACUAUAUUGAAAAAAAUAUUCACUAAGUAACCAUAUAAAAAGAGAAGUUCGGAUGUGAUAGCUUCACACAGAAAUGGACCAAAUUUUCCUUCUCCGCUCAUGGUUGUGCAUCAAGAGCGAUUUGUAAAAUUAGACUAUACUAUAUUUAUUACGCAAAUAAUAUAGAAGAACUGAUUUUUGAUUGUUGUUACACGAAGUUAAAAAAAAUAAGAAACGGUGGACGAGAUGAGGAAACGAUGGAUGGCGACAGUGGUGGAGAAAAACACGGUAGCGAUGUUGAAACAAACGGUAGUAGUGAUGGUACUGAUGUUACAGUUGGAUACCAUGAAAAACACAAUACAUAUUGUGCUACAAGUCUAUUAUGUAGCUCUAAAAUAUAAUAGAAUAUAAAAACAGUACAUUGUUCAUUUUCUCCAAUUAUGUUUACUAAUGGCGGCAGAGAUUGUAUCACACGAAAAUGAUGCAGAAGAAGAUAAUAGUUAUGAUGGAAUAAUCAGUAGUGGUGAAUAUUACAACCGGAGGUGAUUGAGGAGGAAAAGAGGCAGAAUGAAGAUUGAAGAGGAUAAUUAAAAAGCAGGAGGAGUGAAGGAACAGAAGGAAUAGGAGGAUGAAAAUAAAGCAAUGUCCAUUCUAUAUUUUUACUAUCUUGAUGUAUGAAUUGUGAUGCUUAAGGAUAGAUUGACAUUCCUUUUUACAUAUAAUGUGUGCUUAGUGCUAGAUUAGACUUAGUUACUUUUAACCUAUGUUUAAGGUGAUUUCAUGUCUGAGAGGUGUUCUAUGAAAUGUUUGACUGAAUCUCAUAUUGUGUUUUGCAUGUUUAGCCAACAAAGUUGAUGUUUUGCAUACUAGAGAUGUAUUAUGACUACUAUGACUUGUUUCCAAUGCAUGGUUAAGUGUCGUUAGCCAAUAAGAGUUGAUAUUGAAUGCAUGAUUACCAUAGGAGUUAUUAUCACAAGAGUAAAUUUGUUUAUACUUGUGAUCCUAGGAUGAAGAAGCAUGAUAAUUGAUUAUGAUUAGCAUCCAAAUUUUGAAAUCUAUCAUCCUUAAUUGGUUACCAAUUCCAUGAGUUAACCUUUUAAACUUUGAUUAACACUUGUUAUUUGCUGAGUUUCUUGAUUGGAAUUGAGAUCACUGCUUUCUUAAUCACUUCUAACCAUUAGUAUUUUAAACCAAACUUAAUUACUUAGCGUAAAAGACCACUUGCAUUAUUCUAUUUGCUUUAAAAAUCGUGGAUUGGGUUGACAUAUCUUGAUACGUAUAUGAUAGAUUUGUUCUUAUGAUUGAGUAGUAUAAAAGAAAUAUUAAACUUAUUGAACACCAUUGAGAAGGUAAGAAGACAUUAGGAUCAUGGCUUUCUCUUUGUCCUCACUUUCACAUCCACUUUUACAGAUCGCGGAUGAUUUAAUUGAAGUUUUAACAUAUGCGAUAAGAUCACCAGAUUAUACAUUGUCAGUUCGUACAACCUCCACUACAAAUACAACUUGUUUAAAAACGACUUCAACAUAUGUAUUUUUUCUUACUGAUCCCACAUUUCACUACAAGUUAUGAUUUUAAUCACCUGAUUAGUAAUAUAACCAGAGAAACACAAAUAUAUCGUUGAACAGUUUGUUCAUGUAUAUCGUCGUACUAAAUCUUUUCCGGUAUGUUUACGACAACACCUUCUUCAUCCUUAAUUGCUCCACUAGAUCCUUAACUACUUUUUAUUAUAGACCAGGAUAUCUCUUUCCAUCAAAUUUAAAACAUAAAAAAUUAAAUAUUCCGUUUUUAGUGCACAUACUUUCAUAAACUUUAACUUUUAGUAUGACUUAUUUUUGCUAGUUAAUUAAAUCAACAUAAAACCAAUCGACCAAAUGGAAAAAUUCCAAUUAAUCACUGCAUAUAUAUUCAUCUAUCUUAAUAAUAUUGUGUAAAAAGUAAAAAUUUUACGUAUCACUCUCACGUUAACUUUCACGAGUGUAGCUACAUGUAUAUAUAUACUUAAUGAAUUAAAAUAAUAAUAAUAAUCGAUUACUAUUAUUAAAUUUUAUUUUUAUUUAAUAACAUUUAUUCUAAUUAUGGAAAUAAAACCUAGAAAAUAUCUCAAAAAUAAAAUAUCUCAAAAUUAUUAUAAUAGUAUUUUAGAUGUUUGCUUUUACAAGUCUCACUUGCUUUGAUUUUUAAAAAUCUAAAUAUAUUAGUAGUAUUAAUGAAUUCAAAUAUAUUUAGCAAUUAAGUUUAUUUUAUAAAUAUUAUAUUUUAAAACAUAAUAAAUUAUAGAUGAUAAACAUAUAAUUUGUUUUUUUUAUUUCAAAUAAUUGGAAUUUUAAUAGUUAAUAUUUGAUAAUAAAUUAUUAAAGUAUUUUUAAUUAACAACUCUAUUUUUUCUAAUCAAUAUUAUUUAUAAGAUGAUUUUAAUGUAUAUUAAAAUACUUGAACUAAGAAUAAUUUUACUAUGAAUGUAUUUUGAUCAAAUAAUUAGAAAAAGGGAAUUUAUUAAACUAAUAUACCUUAAUCAUAUGAUAUCAUAAAAAAAUUUGUGUUAAAUUGACUUAAUACCAAAUACAUAAUUUUAAAAAUAUGGGAUCAAAUAUUAAAGUUAUGGUUGGCACUUGAUGUGAACCAUGUAUAUUACUAAACUGAUAGAAUAAAACUGUUAAUUUGGUAGUUAUUGGUAUAUCUUUGACACUCUAAUUGAUUGAUGUCUUUUGAAAUUACUAGUUUGAUUAGUUUAUGCAACUCCGGAGUAAUCAACACUUCUAAUUUUUCUCCUAUAAUUUUAUCCCAAAACAAAAUAUUUUAAAUUAUAUUUAAUUUUUUCAAAUAUAUUAUUAUUCUAAGAGUAUGAAUCAAAAUAAAUUCAAUUAAAAAAUUAAUUUGAUUUAAAUAUAUUUAGUAACUAAAUAAAAUAUGGUACAAUUUAGAAAAACAAAUGAAAUUCAAUACCAAAAAUGAAUAACUGAAGCAAUAUGAAUUAUUUUACUUUAAAUGAUAUAUCUACUUAAAAGAAAAGAAUAUUGAUAUUUAACGCAAUCUUUUGUUAAGUUUCAUACAUAUAAAUAACAAAACGAUUUAAGACUUAUAAAAAAAAGAGAGUAAAAUAUUAAGCAAUUAUAUUGAUCUAAUUAUAUUGUAAAUAUUUAAAGACACUAAACAAAUGUGUCCACAGAGAUAAGGGGUUAUGUUUUGGGUUUUAUUUGAAUAUUUAGAGAGAAAGUUCAUUUAUGUGUUGUAUUUCACUUUUGAGAUUGUACGGAUAUUUCAUAGAUAUUCUAUAGCUACAAAAAUAUUAAAUAGUUAAAGCUGAGUCACAAAAAAAAUUGAUUUUUAAAAUGACUUAUAUUACAAUUUUAAUCAAAUUAAAUUAGAAAAAAUGAUAAAGAAAAUACAUAAAUUAUUUUAUCAUCAGAAAUAUAAUAAAUGUUAUUUAGUUCUUAUGUAAGUUACUCAAAAAGCACACCUAUUUAUAUAGGGUGUGAGUGACCAAAAAUAGAGUAAUUGGAAGGAAUAAAAAUUAGAGUAAAUUAGUAAGAAAAGAAAUGAGAGAGAAAAAUAAAGCUGGAGUAAAAAGUUUACUCCAUAAGAAACGGAAGAAAACUUUUAAGUGUUGCUCAAAAAGAAACUUUUUAAGUUGAAAAUUCACAAAAGACAUAAAUAAAAAGGUAACUCUACAUGAAACUAUAUUUUUUUUAUUGUGAUUGAUUCUGUAUCAGCGCAACUCAGUUGAAAAUUAAUUUUACUCUAAAAUUUUAUGCUAGAAAGGCUAUGCAGUCACUCAUAGUUAGUACUCACCCCAUCUAUAUCAACAAAGUAACAUGCAAACUCGUGGACUCGGUAAGUAGAGAACUUUUUUCUAAUUUUAGAAAUAAGAAAAAUAUUUAAUAUUUUAUAAACUUGUAUAAAUAGAUGUAGAGGGGAUGCACAAGAGAGUAAGCAACAUAAAAGAAAACAGAUAAAAAGAUGUUUUGUAGAGAGGCGUCGUCCAGUCUCCAGACCUUAAGCAUAGCAAACAGUCUCAGCUCUCAGUUCACUAAACCAUCAGCACUCAUCAACUCCCUCUCGGCAGGACAUCGUUACAAGCUGUGUCCUCGUCCAAACCUCAGGGGACGAUGUACGGUCACUGCCUCAAAGUUUGAUAUUAAUGGGAAAGGUAAAAUAGUGAAAGACGAAGUUAAGAAAAUCAAAGUAAAGGGAACUAUAACGGUGUUGUCCGAAGAAAAAAAAAAGAAGGGAACUAUAAUGGCCCAAGAAGGCUUGUUACCUUCCGUCGGAGAAUCACUGCUCGUCGAGCUUAUUAGCGCCGAGACUGACCCCCGUGAGUACAAUUAUCAGGCAAACGUAUUAUUAUUAUUUUUAUAUAAGAAGCUAUCGCAUUUUGAGUAUACAAAUUUAUAAUGUGACGUAAAAAAGUAGGCUAGUGCAUCAUUAGUGAUUAAUGGAAUGAUACUUAACCAAGUACUUAACACAUAUGUCAGGGACGCCAAUGGAGAAGGAUCCAGUGGAGGAUUACGCACAACGUGAUGGACAUGAUGAUCAGUACCUACAGUGUGUGUUCGACAUGCCCGAAGACUUUGGAGUGGUUGGUGCCAUCAGAGUUGUAAACCUUGAGAGUAAAGAGAUAUUCCUCAAGGAAAUGAAGCUUGAGGUACCCGACGGCCCCGUUACCUUUACAUUUAACUCGUGGGUGGCCCCCAAGUCCGAAGACUCAACCAAGCGGACAUUCUUCUCCAACAAGUCCUACUUGCCUCUCAAAACUCCUGAGCCUCUUAAACAGCUGCGAAAAGAGGAGCUGGAGACCUUGCAAGGCAAGAACCGUGAGGGAGAUAGUGAAUUCAAAAAAUUCGAGCGGGUUUACGAUUAUGACGUGUACAACGAUGUGGGUAAUCCUGACAAAGAUCCAGAACUUGCACGUCCCGUUCUUGGCGGCCUCUCUCACCCAUACCCAAGGCGGUGCAAGACUGGUCGCAAACCCUGCGUCAUAGACCCCUCCACGGAGACACGCCAAAAAGAUUUCUAUGUCCCCAGAGACGAGGAGUUCAGCAAAGUCAAGGGUGAUGCAUUCACGGGCACGGCAGCCUUGGCAGCUCUUCCUGCUGCGUUGCAACAGAUCGAAGCUCUUCUGUUGGAUCCAAACAUGCCCUUCCCACACUUCAAGUCCAUAGAAAAUCUCUUUGAAGAAGGCAUCGAGAUUCCCAAAGAAGGCAUCCCCAGAAUUUUCAAAGCUAUUGCUGCUAAAGCUGAGGAUAUUCUCCUCUUUGAAUCCCCUAUUCUCCUUGACAGUACCAAUCUCUUUUUUAAUCCUCCAUUAUAUAUUUAUACCUAAUUCUGUAUAAAGCUAGCUACAAUUAAUCUCACUUAACUGCAUCAUUCACUUUGAUUCAGAGGAUAGAUUUUCAUGGAUUCGAGACAACGAGUUUGCUCGCCAGACACUUGCAGGCCUUAAUCCCUAUUGCAUUCAGCUAGUUCGAGUAAGCUAUAUACUACGCUUUAACCAGUAGUUUUUUCUUUUGAUUGUUCCAAUAAAGCAAGAUACAUACGUACAUGGUGUUGGUGGAAAACUGAGCUAGUUAAGAUCACAUUGUUGUUGUAGGAGUGGCCCUUGAAAAGCAAACUAGACCCUGCGGUUUAUGGUGAUCCCAACUCACUCAUUACUAGUGAGAUUGUGGAAAGAGAAAUCAAAGGAGUUAUGUCAUUUGAUGAGGUAACAUUAACUAAUAUCCACAUGUUUUAAAGAAAAAAGCAUAUAUAUAUAUCCAUCCAUCCAUAUGAAGUAAUUCCAUAAUGAAUAAAUAUCAAUGGAUGUGUGCAUGCAGGCUCUGGAGAACAAGAGAUUGUUCAUGUUGGACUAUCAUGAUUUGCUUCUACCGUAUGUGAACAAAGUGAGAGAGUUGGAUGAUAGCACCUUAUAUGCUUCUCGAACACUAUUCUUCCUCAACGAUGAUAGCACAUUGAGACCUGUUGCCAUUGAGUUGACUCGUCCCCAAGAUAAAACCAGGCCCCAAUGGAGGCACGUAUUCACGCCAGGAUAUGAUGCUACCUCCUGCUGGCUAUG